AAAGUAAAGCUUGGACGGUUGAAACUGGUUAAAAAUUUAUUUAAAAAUAUUUAUUUUAAAAUAAAUUUUUAACCAGUUUCAACCGUCCAAGCUU
Paramuricea clavata is the source of this 94-nucleotide non-coding RNA. Lineage: Eukaryota; Metazoa; Cnidaria; Anthozoa; Malacalcyonacea; Plexauridae. The record is from the annotation of a GenBank genome assembly.